Molecule: ribosomal RNA, 504 nt
Filed under: Staphylococcus pseudintermedius
Lineage: Bacteria; Bacillati; Bacillota; Bacilli; Caryophanales; Staphylococcaceae
Description: bacterial SSU rRNA
Rfam family: Bacterial small subunit ribosomal RNA
Source: RNAcentral
AAGUGACAGGUGGUGCAUGGUUGUCGUCAGCUCGUGUCGUGAGAUGUUGGGUUAAGUCCCGCAACGAGCGCAACCCUUGAACUUAGUUGCCAUCAUUCAGUUGGGCACUCUAAGUUGACUGCCGGUGACAAACCGGAGGAAGGUGGGGAUGACGUCAAAUCAUCAUGCCCCUUAUGAUUUGGGCUACACACGUGCUACAAUGGACAAUACAAAGGGCAGCGAAACCGCGAGGUCAAGCAAAUCCCAUAAAGUUGUUCUCAGUUCGGAUUGUAGUCUGCAACUCGACUACAUGAAGCUGGAAUCGCUAGUAAUCGUAGAUCAGCAUGCUACGGUGAAUACGUUCCCGGGUCUUGUACACACCGCCCGUCACACCACGAGAGUUUGUAACACCCGAAGCCGGUGGAGUAACCAUUUUGGAGCUAGCCGUCGAAGGUGGGACAAAUGAUUGGGGUGAAGUCGUAACAAGGUAGCCGUAUCGGAAGGUGCGGCUGGAUCACCUCCUUU